This 294-nucleotide ribosomal RNA is filed under the name uncultured bacterium. RNAcentral's name for it is "partial 16S ribosomal RNA". It matches the Rfam family "Bacterial small subunit ribosomal RNA", at positions 775 to 1067 of the family's 1533-position model. The record is from RNAcentral.
GGAUUAGAUACCCUGGUAGUCCACGCCCUAAACGAUGUCAACUAGCUGUUGGGGCCGUUAGGCCUUAGUAGCGCAGCUAACGCGUGAAGUUGACCGCCUGGGGAGUACGGUCGCAAGAUUAAAACUCAAAGGAAUUGACGGGGACCCGCACAAGCGGUGGAUGAUGUGGAUUAAUUCGAUGCAACGCGAAAAACCUUACCUACCCUUGACAUGUCUGGAAAGCCGAAGAGAUUUGGCCAUGCUCGCAAGAGAACCGGAACACAGGUGCUGCAUGGCUGUCGUCAGCUCGUGUUG